Molecule: transfer RNA, 65 nt
Filed under: Asymmetricata circumdata
Lineage: Eukaryota; Metazoa; Arthropoda; Insecta; Coleoptera; Lampyridae
Description: tRNA-Met
Source: RNAcentral
AAAAAGGUAAGCUAAUUAAGCUUUUGGGUUCAUACCCCGACUAUAAGGAUCUUCUUUUCUUUUUA